AUUAGGAUUCCAGCAAGUAUGAAACUUAUGCCAGCUGUCAGCAAUAAGCAGCUCUGGUUCCAUCUGUUCCUUCUGCAGCACUGAUUAAACAGAAUGCCAGUUAGAGCAUUAAUAAAAGCAAAAACGGCAAAUAGCACUGCAAAGGACAUCAGAACUCUUGCACCCUUCAAAUCAGGUGUCAUGGAUAAAGACUGGGAAUAAUAUUGACAAUUUAAUGGGUUGUUGGAUUGCUUUACACAGGUCAUCCACAGUCCAUCCCAACGACUUAUCCAGUGCCCAUCAAUGCGUCUUCCAUUUUCCGAAGACCGGACAUCCAUCCUCAACCAAGCAGCAGAAGUCCUCAGCGAAGCCGGCAGAAGUCUUCAUCCAAGCGGGCCGAAGUCUUCAUCCAGACGGCAUCUUCUAUCUUCAUCCAUCCAGCGCAGAGCAGCUCCAUCUUCAAGAUCAGGUGCUGAGCAUCCUCUUCUCCCGAUGGUCAACAAAGAAUGAAGGUUCCCUUUAAGGUGAAAAAGUUUUCUUGUAGCCUCUAAUGCGCUGGAGAGCCACGCUAAUCCUAAUUGGAGGCGUAGCACGGCAGAUCCCAGAUCCAAUCGCUAGUGGACUUUCUCCUGUAAUGCAGGCUCUAUGAUGCGCUGUGCUGCGAAGAAGGCUGGGGAUUAGCGCGCUAGAGACACAUGGGUUAUACCAGCAAAAUAUGGAUCCCCCCAUGAAGAAAAGCAACACUGUGGGCCAGCCGAGAAAUAUGGCUUCCCCAAGUUCCUGUUGCUGAACAGAUUUACAGGAGGAAAAGCAAACAUCUUUCCAGACGUUACUUGCAGUCCAUGUCACAGAUACUAGAAUUAGGAUUCCAGCAAGUAUGAAACUUAUGCCAGCUGUCAGCAAUAAGCAGCUCUGGUUCCAUCUGUUCCUCCUGCAGCACUGAUUAAACAGAAUGCCAGUUAGAGCAUUAAUAAAAGCAAAAACGGCAAAUAGCACUGCAAAGGACAUCAGAACUCUUGCACCCUUCAAAUCAGGGGUCAUGGAUAAAGACUGGGAAUAAUAUUGACAAUUUAAUGGGUUGUUGGAUUGCUUUACACAGGUCAUCCACAGUCCAUCCCAACGACUUAUCCAGUGCCCAUCAAUGCGUCUUCCAUGUGAGCCGUUCUCCAUGACAAUGGACACUUUCCAGUGGGGCAUUGCACAAACAGCAAUUGCCAAAACUGUUGCAACGCCAUUGAGAAUCAUACCAAUGAUUUGCACAAUGCAGCUUUUAGUGACUUGUUCCCUUUCAGCUCCUGCCAUUCUGUAAAGAUGUAGGAAGUCAAAUCCUUUCAGUGCUUCUGAGGAAAGUAACACUGUCUAUUUCUGGAUUCUCAUAUGACGGUGCUUCAUUUCUAAAUUGUGCUUUAAUACUUUAAGACAGAAAUGUUUUGAUGCCUUACAGUUAACCUGGCACGUGUAUUAACUUAUGUUCUCAAUAUCAUGAUAUGUAGAGGAGUGGCUUAAAAAGGAAACAUGCUGAUUAAUCAUUAUGAUACACUCUUCAUAGUUUCUUUUGUACAAAAAUAAAAAGUCAGUACAUUUUCAGGCUAUGUUUAGUUGCUACGCAGAAGACAGGAAAACUUGGUGUUUAGGAAAAAAGGGUGUAACUUUGGAAUGUUGAACACUCCAUUCAUAUGAUAAAACAUACUGAAGAACAUUAUGCUAGCAUGUAAGGGAACACAAUAGUGCAAUGGAAAUUAUUAGGAAAGAAGUGUUCUCCCUAAUUGUUAAUGUCUGUUAUAGAAUUGCAAAGUCAUUUGCAGCUGUUUUAACAUUACAGUAGAGUCUGUAUA
Molecule: long non-coding RNA, 1814 nt
Organism: Bombina bombina (fire-bellied toad)
Lineage: Eukaryota; Metazoa; Chordata; Amphibia; Anura; Bombinatoridae
Exons: 4
Source: RefSeq, a predicted model, not a curated record